This 497-nucleotide ribosomal RNA is filed under the name uncultured bacterium. RNAcentral's name for it is "partial 16S ribosomal RNA". It matches the Rfam family "Bacterial small subunit ribosomal RNA", at positions 28 to 507 of the family's 1533-position model. The record is from RNAcentral.
GACGAACGCUGGCGGCGUGCCUAAUACAUGCAAGUUGAGCGCUGAAGGUUGGUACUUGUACCAACUGGAUGAGCAGCGAACGGGUGAGUAACGCGUGGGGAAUCUGCCUUUGAGCGGGGGACAACAUUUGGAAACGAAUGCUAAUACCGCAUAAAAACUUUAAACACAAGUUUUAAGUUUGAAAGAUGCAAUUGCAUCACUCAAAGAUGAUCCCGCGUUGUAUUAGCUAGUUGGUGAGGUAAAGGCUCACCAAGGCGAUGAUACAUAGCCGACCUGAGAGGGUGAUCGGCCACAUUGGGACUGAGACACGGCCCAAACUCCUACGGGAGGCAGCAGUAGGGAAUCUUCGGCAAUGGACGAAAGUCUGACCGAGCAACGCCGCGGGAGUGAAGAAGGUUUUCGGAUCGUAAAACUCUGUUGGUAGAGAAGAACGUUGGUGAGGGUGGAAAGCUCAUCAAGUGACGGUAACUACCCAGAAAGGGACGGCUAACUACGUG